AAUUCUCAAUCUCCUCUAUCUUUUGAGUUGAUUGGAUGUGGAGGUUUUGUGCGUUUUCUUUUUGAACCCACUCCUCUUAAAUGUAUUAGCUGGAACGCCUUGGCAAAUCCAACUAUCAGCGUGAUAAUUAUCAGUGCUGUGGUUGUUGCGUAAAGGGAAUCCGCUUCUCAACCGUCGCGAGACAAAUUUUUGAAUCA
Molecule: unclassified non-coding RNA, 197 nt
Filed under: uncultured Agaricales
Lineage: Eukaryota; Fungi; Basidiomycota; Agaricomycetes; Agaricales
Description: sequence contains ITS2
Source: RNAcentral